AUGGUAGGCUGGCGGGCGGCGGGCGCUCGCGCCGUUCUUCGCCGACUCGGCGCGGCAGCCACGGAGAAGCAGGGUGGCCGUGCGUUGGCGGUCAGCUAUAGCAGCAGCUGCCGCAGCAGUAGCGCGAGUGCUCCAUUUGGAUUGGGCCAGUGCGCAAGUUUGUUGAGAGCACACACUUCUACCUCCCGGGGAAUUCCAACGAACUUCUAUCAGCUGCUCCACAAUGCUGGAAUAUCGACCACUAGGAACCUUCUUGCUGCAGAUAAUUCUAUGGUUCCCAUUUCUUCUCCGUUGACAACUCCACUAGGGGAUGCAGAAGAGACCAACAAAAAGGGUGCAGUAGUUAAGCGGCUGAAAGUCCAAGCUAUCAAGAAGGAUAUCAAGCAGAGCCCCAAGAAGGUGAAUCUGGUAGCCAAGCUGGUUCGAGGAAUGCGUGUUGAAGAUGCCCUUUUGCAGCUGCAAGUGACAGUUAAAAGGGCGGCAAAAACUCUGUACCAGGUGAUCCAUUCCGCUCGUGCCAACGCAGCUCACAACCACGGAUUGGAUUCUGAUAAACUUAUUGUGGAGGAGGCUUUUGUGGGGAAAGGACUUUACCUUAAGAGGUUGUCUUACCAUGCCAAAGGGAGGUGCGGCGUCAGGGAGAGACCUAGGUGCAGACUGACGGUGGUGGUUAGAGAAGCAACGGCCGAGGAAGAAGCGAAGAUCGCUAAACUGAGAGUUAGCAACUACAAAAAGCUAACCCGGAAGGAGAAGCAGCUCAUGCCGCACCGGCUCAUUGAGGUCAGUCCCAGGUGGGCUCGGAAAAGGAAGGAGGAGGAGGCAGACGCCACAGUGUAG
RNAcentral lists this ribosomal RNA (837 nucleotides) under Triticum aestivum (bread wheat). Its description in RNAcentral is "partial small subunit ribosomal RNA". Lineage: Eukaryota; Viridiplantae; Streptophyta; Magnoliopsida; Poales; Poaceae. The record is from RNAcentral.